UCACCCAGGAUACGGAGCUAUGGAAAUGCAAAAUGUGUUCUCCAGAAACACAGAGAAGAAGGAGAAGCAGCAGGCUGUCUUCUCUCGGGUAAUGUAUAUUCAGUCUUGCCCCAAGACUGUUCAUUCUCCCACUCUCUGUAACAGGAUAGCCCAAAGGGGUUUGAACCAUCUAGAUAUGCCACAAAAUGCACACUGAUUUCCUAUAUUAAAGGAGAGUGAAGUGGGUCCCUUGGUCCAAGCCGACGUCGUGUGGUCUCCCAUGGUGUGAAUCAGAUACUCUAUGGCCUCUGUCAGAAGACCACAUCACCUGUCCUCAGCUCAAGGGACCCACUUCACAGCAAAAGAAGGAUCGCAGUGGUCAUGUGACUUUGCGAUCCACUGCUCUACACAAACUGUGCCAUCCAGAAGAUGUUAACCUCAGAUGGCAGUGGGAUGGGACCCUGAAAAAAUGCAUCAGCUUCACUAGCUUGGGAAUGACACCCUGUGAGAUGGGACAGUAUUCUUCAGGAUGUCAUUUACUCCUUAAUGAUGGCAAUGGCCUUUAUGUGAUGCUGUGCUCCCAAUGGGUAGAAGACAUGGGUUUGGAAAUCUAGUAGGAGUGGCCAAGCUCACUGUCACAGGUGGUGACCAAGGGAAUUUGGGCUUCUUGUGCUUGCAACUUUAGGCUCUGUGGGUCUAGAUGUCUUGAUUCUUGGGCAGGAACAAAGAAUUCCACUAACCUUAAAGCUAUGGCUGCUGCAUGGCCACCAGGGCUUCUCAUGCCUGUAGACCAGGAGGCCUGGGACGAAAUUGACAUAACCGGAAGGGCUGAUCCUAUUUAAUCAGGACAUGAGGAAUAUGCGUGGCACUGAGGUGGCCCACUAAGACACCUGUGGUGUUCCCCUACAUGUAGCCUGAGAAGACCAUGGAAACCAGGGGCUCAGUCGUGGAAGGAUGAAGGUCUAGGUCAUCCCAACCCGCAGAAGUGCUAGUUGAGCGUGAAGGGAAUCUAGAAUGGGUGGCAAGGAAGGAGGGAGACAGUGAGUAUCGGUUACCACCUUUGGGACCAAUUGUGGCAGCCAGAGGCUGCGUUUGUCUCAGGAAUCUCCUUUUGUAAAUCUCCCCAGGAAUUGUGGCCCGGGAGAAUCCCAGAAAGCCUGUGCGUGCAUGGAAUGAACUUAAUGUAAGGGGCAGAUGGGCUGGGUCAGCUUCAUGGGCGUGCAAACAUGUGUACUUACAGAGGGUACCACACUCAGAAGGGACCCCAUGUUUGGCUUAAUGCUCUGCCGUCACCAUCUUGAGAUAAUUAAUAAUUUUAUGUUUGAAAUUGUUUUGUGAGUGAAGUCUCUUGGGACAAUGGUGUGUGCGCAUGAGCAGAAGAGACAUGCCCCCUAUGUGUGUGCUUCCUUGCCCCCAUUUGCAAAUAGCGCACAUGAUGCCGGUGAACACAGCAUUCCAGUGGACCUACUAUGCGCACAUGUUCAGUGAAACUAAGAGUGCAUAUAAGGUAAGUGGGUUAUGCUGAUGCCUGAGUAAGCAGGGUGCUGACAGCUCCAAGAAGCCAGGCUUUUUCUGUUCCAACCAGAACUUGCUUUGAAAGCAGAAAGAAGGCAAAGGCAUUCUGAGAAAGAUGUUUUUCAUGCUGCUUCCCUGUAUUAGCCAGUUGCAUACACCAAAGGAUGACCGGAAGGAAAGAAAGAUAGGGCGACUCCUGGUUGUCUUUCUUGCAGCCCUCCCUUACUGGUUAGUAUGCUGAAGGUAGGGAGUGUUGGUAGGACACAUACCGAGGAGUGAAACAGAAACAGUUGUGUUCAUUUUGCACAUUCCAUUGUUCUGGGAAGGCCAGAAUACAUAUGCAUUUAUAACUACAAAAUACAACCCGUGUAAUUUCAGUCAUUUGACAUGAGCCAAACGCCCUUAUGUUUGCAGUGAAAAUUGCACGAUAUAAAGAUGCAUGGUACCAUUCGUGCCAGUAAUUUAUAUUUUUAAUAUUUCUUUACUUCAAACGACAUUAGACAGCAAAUAAAAGAACACCGGGAAGUCAAGAGACUAUGGAAGAAAGUAAGAUGCUAUAUGUUUCAGUGUCUUCAAUGUUCUUUUUCCCUAAGUUUUGAACAAAGGGCCCGGCAUGUGGGGCUGAGCAUGCAAAGAGUGGACGCCAGCCCUCGCUGUGAGUGCACUGCCGGGUCCCCUCGGCUAGGCCACACUCUCCAGCCACCAGCUGCUGUGACACACCUCCCCUCUCUUGAGAACUGCCCUUGGAUCAGAGUCACCUCACCUGGGAGCUUGCCAGCAUCUGCCCUGGGAGCCCACAACCAUGACAGGCUGAUGGACACAACAGGCCUGCCCUUGACCCUCAAUGGGGGACAAUUCUGUUGUGCCAUUUAUGCUUCCAACCUUUGCAGGGGAUCAGGCCAAGGCUACAUCUAUCCCAGACUUCAUCCUUGCCUCACUUUCCCCUCCCGAGCCUCCUGCCCUCCCUCCCCUACAGACUUCUCCUGAUGAGUGUUCCUUCCCCUCCGUAAGGCACAUGCACCCACGUCUCUGUUGCAAUGUCUGUUUCCAGGGAACCCAUACACAUUUAUACAAACCGAAACAAAGUUUUCACCAAGAAAAUAUGCCCUUGUUUUGUAUUCCUCUGUUGUACUAAGCUGGGCCCAGCCAAUUGAUUUCAUAACCUACUUACUAACAGGCAGGACCCGCAGUUUGAAGAUUACGGAUCUGUGUGACCCCAGAGAUGGAAACAAUGAACUAUGUCCAGAUGUUGGAGUAGGAAGAUAAAUCUGGAUUGGGUUGUAAGGGAUGAGUAGAAGUUUUACAAAUCAAGAAAUAAUACAGAGGUGGUCAUUUCAGACAAGAGUCAGGAGAGUAGUUUGUGGAUAUUUAGAGCUGUGUUUCUCAAAGAACAGUCAUGGACCACCUGUAUCAGAAUCACUUUGGGGUGCGUGGCAAACAUGCAGAUUUCUUGACCAGUCCCAGACUCUCUGAUUUGGAUCUUGAGGGUAAGAACCUGCUUUCUAAAUGAGCCCCCUAGUCAGUGCUUCUGCACAGUAAAAUUUGAGGUUCGCUUAUCUGUUCUAUAGAGAGCCAGGAGAUGGGAGUAGUGACUCAUUCCCCACUCUUCUCUUUCAGAUGGACUCAGAAUGAGAAGCCCAGAGAGUCAGAGAAGGCUUCAUGGGCAUGUGGUGUGGGCACAGGAACAGGUAGACAAAAGAGCAAGUCCGCCAUGAUUGGUGUGCAUGGACCUGGGGACGAGGAACACCAGCCAGGAAGCCUUCUCUGAUCCUCUCACCUAGAGGCAGGACAGACGACGGCCAUGGAGAAGUGGUUUACCUCACUCUGCUCAUCAGCACGUACACUCUGCUUCUGAUUUCUCUUCAGUAUUAUCGUGCCUUUGUCAACUAUGAAAUCACUCCCUUGUUGCUGGAAGUACACAUCACACGUAGGCAAAGCUGUUGCUGCUAUCUUAAAAAGAAAAGAAAUUACAGCGUCAGUAACCCACAGAAGUUCCAAUUGUACCACAGUGCAAGCGUUUUGGGUUAUCGGAUAACUUAAAAGGUGCCCUACUUGUUCGUCAAGAGCAUGCAGCCCUCGGGUCAGCGGAGGCCCGCUUCAGGAACUCGCUUAUUUUAGUGAUUCUCAGCCACACUCUCUGUCCAGCUGCCUGACCUCUGCGAUGAGGAACCUCAGAUAGGCCACGCUGGAUUAUGUCCGUGUGUCCAACACAAAAUUAGAAACCAUUUUAUUGAUUUUAUGCAGAAAGCCUAUUAUGGAAUUAGCUUUAUACUACACUGUAUCAAAUUCCACACUAUGUUAAAUCCAAUCAAUGUUAAGUUUUGUGACCACAGGUAGUUUCUAUAAGAAAACAAACCAGUGCUUCCCAAGUUGCCUAUGAAUCACUGGGGGAUCCUGUUCACACAUAGACUCGAUUCAGUAGGUCUGGGGCAGGACCUGAGACUCUAUAAGUCCAGUGAACUCAUAGGUGAUGCAGCCUUGCUGGUCCAUAGACCACAUUUGAGUAGCAAGGAUGUUGCCAUAGACCGGAUGUUUGUGUCCCUGCAAAAUCCACAUAGAGAAGGCUAAUCCCCACAGUGGUGGUGAUUAAAGGUGGGGCCUUUCCGGAGUGAUUGGGUCAUGAGGGCACACCCCAGGAAUGGGAUCAGUGCCCUCAUGAAAGAGCUCCUUUGCCCCUCUGCCGUGUUAGGACUCAGUGAGAAGAUGGCCAUCUACGAACCAGGAAGCAGGCUUU
This is a long non-coding RNA of Leopardus geoffroyi (Geoffroy's cat), 4228 nucleotides long. RefSeq lists it as uncharacterized. NCBI's taxonomy places the organism in Eukaryota, Metazoa, Chordata, Mammalia, Carnivora, Felidae. The record is from RefSeq and is a predicted model, not a curated record. The transcript is spliced from 3 exons.